Molecule: ribosomal RNA, 661 nt
Filed under: uncultured marine microorganism
Description: bacterial SSU rRNA
Rfam family: Bacterial small subunit ribosomal RNA
Source: RNAcentral
CGGACGGGUGAGUAACGCGUGAGAAUCUGCCCUCAGGAGGGGGAUAACGGUUGGAAACGACCGCUAAUACCCCAUAUGCCUAUUGGUGAAAUGAAUUUCGCCUGAGGAUGAGCUCGCGUCUGAUUAGCUAGUUGGUGAGGUAAUGGCUCACCAAGGCUUCGAUCAGUAGCUGGUCUGAGAGGAUGAUCAGCCACACUGGGACUGAGACACGGCCCAGACUCCUACGGGAGGCAGCAGUGGGGAAUUUUCCGCAAUGGGCGAAAGCCUGACGGAGCAACGCCGCGUGAGGGACGAAGGCCUCUGGGCUGUAAACCUCUUUUCUCAAGGAAGAAGAUAUGACGGUACUUGAGGAAUAAGCCACGGCUAAUUCCGUGCCAGCAGCCGCGGUAAUACGGGAGUGGCAAGCGUUAUCCGGAAUUAUUGGGCGUAAAGCGUCCGCAGGCGGCUUUUCAAGUCUGCUGUUAAAGCGUGGAGCUUAACUCCAUCAUGGCAGUGGAAACUGAAAGGCUUGAGUAUGGUAGGGGCAGAGGAAUUCCCGGUGUAGCGAUGAAAUGCGUAGAUAUCGGGAAGAACACCAGUGGCGAAGGCGCUCUGCUGGGCCAUUACUGACGCUCAUGGACGAAAGCCAGGGGAGCGAAUGGGAUUAGAUACCCCAGUAGUC